Molecule: ribosomal RNA, 251 nt
Filed under: uncultured Eubacterium sp.
Lineage: Bacteria; Bacillati; Bacillota; Clostridia; Eubacteriales; Eubacteriaceae
Description: partial 16S ribosomal RNA
Rfam family: Bacterial small subunit ribosomal RNA
Source: RNAcentral
UGGAUGAGUUGCGAACGGGUGAGUAACGCGUAGGCAACCUGCCCCAUACAAAGGGAUAGCAUUUGGAAACGAAUAUUAAUACCUUAUGAAACUUAACUAGUGCAUGCUAGGUAGGUCAAAGAUUUAUCGGUAUGGGAUGGGCCUGCGUCUGAUUAGCUAGUUGGUGAGGUAACGGCUCACCAAGGCGACGAUCAGUAGCCGACCUGAGAGGGUGAACGGCCACAUUGGAACUGAGACACGGUCCAAACUCC